Molecule: long non-coding RNA, 950 nt
Organism: Setaria italica (foxtail millet)
Lineage: Eukaryota; Viridiplantae; Streptophyta; Magnoliopsida; Poales; Poaceae
Exons: 2
Source: RefSeq, a predicted model, not a curated record
GUAGUAAUCUGAUUUGUCGAUGAGAGAGAGCGCGCCACGGAAGUAAAAAUGUUGAAUCGAUUCAUACCCCUAAUGUUAUAUAAAAUGUAGCCACCGCUCUUCCCUGUCAUCCGUCCGCCGCCUCUUCCUCCGUCCUAGUUUCCUCCGCCGCCGCUUUUGCUUCCGCGCGCAGCUCAGCUCGCCGCGCGCGCCUGCUACUACCCAGAAAGACUCCGCCGUGCUAGAGAUGCGCGGAGCCAACACCGGAGGGCCGGGAGAGGGCUGUAGCUGCCGAGCGCGUUGGGGAGCAAGGGGAUGGGGGAAGCCAGCGAGCGCGGCGGCGAGCCGGCGACAGAUGAAGACGCCAGCCAGUGCUGCGGCAUCUUAGCAGGGAGAUGAGGAGCCCGACUGGUGACUGCUCCAUCGGCAGUGCGUCGGUGACUCCACGGCGGAGGCCCGGCUGAUUGGGCGAGUGCUGCGGCCACUGCGCAGGGAGAUAAGAAGGCCCGUUGCUCCGCCGGCUAUGCGUCAAUGACUCCACAGCGGCGGGCGGUGGCCACAACGACGAGUGUAUCGGGGAUCCUACAGGCCAGAAACUGGAAGCAACGGAACGAUUACAGCAUUUCAUCAGCAGCCAAGUCUUUCCCGGAGCUGGGAUGGGAAGACUUUUGUGAUCACCACGGACAACUUCUUGCUGGCGAUUUAGACGCCUGUGGAGAGUAAUGACGAGCGAACACCGGUGCCACUUUGCCAGUCAUUCGUCCUUACAACUUUUGCAGAACGAUCUGGAAGAAGGACCUCAUACCAUGACAAUCAGUCCAUGCCAACGACGUGGAAUCGUGUAGUACGUUGAAAUUCUAGGUCUUCCGAGCAAUAGUACAAGCACUAAAAACACAAUUAAAGAGGAGAAAGGUCGUGCCUAACUAUAGUGCGUGGAUAGGCUGCAAUUUUCAUGAAAACUCGUUUUCAUU